UGGGGAAUAUUGGACAAUGGGGGCAACCCUGAUCCAGCAAUGCCGCGUGAGUGAUGAAGGCCUUCGGGUUGUAAAGCUCUUUUGGCGGGGACGAUGAUGACGGUACCCGCAGAAUAAGCCCCGGCUAACUUCGUGCCAGCAGCCGCGGUAAUACGAAGGGGGCAAGCGUUGUUCGGAAUUACUGGGCGUAAAGGGCGCGUAGGCGGCCGAUCAAGUCAGGCGUGAAAUUCCCGGGCUCAACCCGGGGGCUGCGCUUGAUACUGAUUGGCUUGAAUGCGGGAGAGGAUAGUGGAAUUCCCAGUGUAGAGGUGAAAUUCGUAGAUAUUGGGAAGAACACCAGUGGCGAAGGCGGCUAUCUGGCCCGUUAUUGACGCUGAGGCGCGAAAGCGUGGGGAGCAAACA
Molecule: ribosomal RNA, 402 nt
Filed under: uncultured prokaryote
Description: bacterial SSU rRNA
Rfam family: Bacterial small subunit ribosomal RNA
Source: RNAcentral